AUGAACGCUGGCGGCGUGCCUAAUACAUGCAAGUCGAGCGAACAGACGAGGAGCUUGCUCCUCUGACGUUAGCGGCGGACGGGUGAGUAACACGUGGAUAACCUACCUAUAAGACUGGGAUAACUUCGGGAAACCGGAGCUAAUACCGGAUAAUAUAUUGAACCGCAUGGUUCAAUAGUGAAAGACGGUUUUGCUGUCUCUUAUAGAUGGAUCCGCGCCGCAUUAGCUAGUUGGUAAGGUAACGGCUUACCAAGGCGACGAUGCGUAGCCGACCUGAGAGGGUGAUCGGCCACACUGGAACUGAGACACGGUCCAGACUCCUACGGGAGGCAGCAGUAGGGAAUCUUCCGCAAUGGGCGAAAGCCUGACGGAGCAACGCCGCGUGAGUGAUGAAGGUCUUCGGAUCGUAAAACUCUGUUAUUAGGGAAGAACAAAUGUGUAAGUAACUAUGCACGUCUUGACGGUACCUAAUCAGAAAGCCACGGCUAACUACGUG
RNAcentral lists this ribosomal RNA (496 nucleotides) under uncultured bacterium. Its description in RNAcentral is "partial 16S ribosomal RNA". It matches the Rfam family "Bacterial small subunit ribosomal RNA", at positions 29 to 507 of the family's 1533-position model. The record is from RNAcentral.